GAUGAAGAACGUAGCGAAAUGCGAUAAGUAAUGUGAAUUGCAGAAUUCAGUGAAUCAUCGAAUCUUUGAACGCACAUUGCGCCCGCCAGUAUUCUGGCGGGCAUGCCUGUUCGAGCGUCAUUACAACCCUCAGGCCCCCGGGCCUGGCGUUGGGGAUCGGCGGAGCCCCCCGUGGGCACACGCCGUCCCCCAAAUGCAGUGGCGGUCCCGCCGCAGCUUCCAUCGCGUAGUAGCUAACACCUCGCGACUGGAGAGCGGCGCGGCCACGCCGAAAAACACCCAACUCUUCUGAAGUUGACCUCGAAUCAGGUAGGAAUACCCGCUGAACUUAAGCAUAUCAAUAAGCGGAGGA
Molecule: unclassified non-coding RNA, 352 nt
Filed under: soil metagenome
Description: partial contains 5.8S ribosomal RNA, internal transcribed spacer 2, and large subunit ribosomal RNA
Rfam family: 5.8S ribosomal RNA (bases 1-120)
Source: RNAcentral